RNAcentral lists this ribosomal RNA (406 nucleotides) under uncultured bacterium. RNAcentral describes it as "bacterial SSU rRNA". It matches the Rfam family "Bacterial small subunit ribosomal RNA", at positions 355 to 775 of the family's 1533-position model. The record is from RNAcentral.
UGGGGAAUAUUGGGCAAUGGGCGAAAGCCUGACCCAGCAACGCCGCGUGAGGGAAGAAGGUUUUCGGAUUGUAAACCUCUGUCCUUGGGGACGAAGAAAGUGACGGUACCCAAGGAGGAAGCCCCGGCUAACUACGUGCCAGCAGCCGCGGUAAUACGUAGGGGGCAAGCGUUGUCCGGAAUUACUGGGCGUAAAGGGUGCGUAGGCGGUUUUUUAAGUUAGAUGUGAAAUCCCCGGGCUUAACUCGGGUGUUGCAUUUGAAACUGGGGAACUAGAGUGCAGGAGAGGGAAGCGGAAUUCCUAGUGUAGCGGUGAAAUGCGUAGAUAUUAGGAGGAACACCAGUGGCGAAGGCGGCUUCCUGGACUGUAACUGACGCUGAGGCACGAAAGCGUGGGGAGCAAACAG